ACCUGGCUAGCUCAGUCAGCAGAGCAUAAAACUCUUAAUAUCACGAUCAUGGGUUCAAUCCCCAAGUUGGCCG
Ameiurus melas (black bullhead) is the source of this 73-nucleotide non-coding RNA. The record is from the annotation of a GenBank genome assembly. NCBI's taxonomy places the organism in Eukaryota, Metazoa, Chordata, Actinopteri, Siluriformes, Ictaluridae.